Molecule: ribosomal RNA, 241 nt
Filed under: uncultured Staphylococcus sp.
Lineage: Bacteria; Bacillati; Bacillota; Bacilli; Caryophanales; Staphylococcaceae
Description: partial 16S ribosomal RNA
Rfam family: Bacterial small subunit ribosomal RNA
Source: RNAcentral
CGGACGGGUGAGUAACACGUGGAUAACCUACCUAUAAGACUGGGAUAACUUCGGGAAACCGGAGCUAAUACCGGAUAAUAUUUUGAACCGCAUGGUUCAAAAGUGAAAGACGGUCUUGCUGUCACUUAUAGAUGGAUCCGCGCUGCAUUAGCUAGUUGGUAAGGUAACGGCUUACCAAGGCAACGAUGCAUAGCCGACCUGAGAGGGUGAUCGACCACACUGGAACUGAGACACGGUCCAG